Passer domesticus (house sparrow) is the source of this 949-nucleotide long non-coding RNA. RefSeq lists it as uncharacterized. The transcript has 3 exons. Lineage: Eukaryota; Metazoa; Chordata; Aves; Passeriformes; Passeridae. The record is from RefSeq and is a predicted model, not a curated record.
GUGAUGCUGAUUCGUAACAGAGAGCGCGGCCUCGUAGAGUGAGCUACAUUCACUGCUCUGGAAACAGGCUUAGGCUGUAAUUUAAUCCACUGUGAAACUACAGGUAUCAUCUCAUGCAAAAAGUCUGCCUUUGAAGAAAAAUGACAAAAGGAGCCUUGUAUCUCCUGCUGCAAAGGAAGUGCCACUCCAGGAAACAAUCCUUUUUGCACAGAUGUCCUGUAAAAGCUACCUGAACACUGCAGUGACAAUAACAAUGACAAGCAAAGACAAUGACUAAACAAGAGUUUGGACAUGGAACUAAACUGCAUACAGUCUCCACUUGUCUGCACCCCAAUUAGAAGAGAAUGGAGACAAGCAUCACAGUGGUCUAUAAACAGGACAAGAAGAAGAUUGACAAGUAACUGAAGGAAAAGAACUGAAGGAGUCAACUGUCAGAGCAAAGAGAGGUUAUAGAAAAAGAGAGAGAGAGAGGUUUGCCCAUUGCCCUGGAGUAAUGGCUAGCCUUUAACACAUGGCCUCUGCUCCUGUCAGUAUUUCUUCUUGGACAGGUUAUCUCAGGAAUUUAUGCUUUCCAAUAAUUACCUUUCAGAGGGCUCUCACUUAUCUUGCAAGAGGAAUCCAACAGUAACCUGACCUGCAUUGCUCAUGCAAUCACCAUCCACCCCCUCUAACCUUACAUCCCAUCUCUCAAAGCAAAAGCAAGCAGCCCUUCCCAGACUUCCAGUGAUGCAUCAGCAGCAGUUGAUAAAAUUGUUGGCAAAGUUGAUAAAAAUAAGAGUUUCAAUGCUUCAUGUUAUAUAAACAUAGAUGAGCUAGCAGGCAAAAGCAGUAAAAUAUUACCAGCAGGUUAAAAUACCUUGUGUGGUAAUGUUAUAUUAUCCAGAACUUAAGAUGAACAGUUGUUUUGCACCACCAUAAGAAGGAUUUUUACCUGAGGGUAAGUUUUAUU